Molecule: small RNA, 745 nt
Filed under: Pongo abelii (Sumatran orangutan)
Lineage: Eukaryota; Metazoa; Chordata; Mammalia; Primates; Hominidae
Description: retained intron
Source: RNAcentral
UAAUUUUAGAUUUUUCUAAUUUUGAGUAGUCUAGGUUUUCUAACAAACUGAAAAUCAGUACCUUGGGAUGAUGUCAGUUUCACCUCAUACGUUACUCUUCAUUUUUUAUGUUUUUAUAGGUUUUGGCUCAUCUUUUGGAUAUGGUUUUCUAUAGUGAUGAAAAGGAGCGGGUUAUUCCUUUACUUGUAAAUAUUAUGCAUUAUGUUGUGCCCUACCUCAGAAAUCACAGGUACUAUCAUUAUUUAAAUAGUUUUUAAAUUAAUUCAUAGCCUGUUAGAAACAAGUUCUGUUCCCUUAUUGCCAUUUCUAGAAUUAUCACAAAAUGGCAUUUUUACCUUGAAUUAUAAUUGUUUAAGAAAAUUCAUAUAUUAUUUUUCUUAUGGUGCUUUCUAUUUCAUAUCUUCAUGUCACUGUCUCAGGUAAAUGUAACCAUUUAUGUCUAACUUGAUAGGAUGAUUAAAGUUAGGACACAUAGGUUAAGGUGGUUUUUCUUCCUUGUAGUGCACAUAAUGCCCCUAGUUAUCGAGCUUGUGUCCAGCUGCUCAGCAGUCUUAGUGGGUAUCAGUACACACGGAGAGCUUGGAAAAAAGAAGCUUUUGACCUCUUUAUGGAUCCCAGUUUCUUUCAGAUGGAUGCCUCUUGUGUUAAUCAUUGGAGAGCAAUUAUGGACAAUCUGAUGACACAUGAUAAAACAACAUUUAGAGAUUUGAUGAGUGAGUAUUAUGGGAUGACAAUCCAAGUUCUU